This 33895-nucleotide long non-coding RNA is filed under the name Lactuca sativa (garden lettuce). Its description in RNAcentral is "long non-coding RNA (LSAT_LNC010285)". Lineage: Eukaryota; Viridiplantae; Streptophyta; Magnoliopsida; Asterales; Asteraceae. The record is from RNAcentral.
GGAGAUAUUCAAGAUAGUUGAUUUAAAGUCCUUAAUAUGACACCCAAUAUGAAAUAUUAAGGCUAGGACCCAACAAACUAUUUUAUAACUUAGAAGAGGUAUGCCGUAAUCCAAGCUAUAAAAUAUUUGAAGGUAGGUGAAUGACGAUUCACCAAUUUCCACCAAGAUAAACGAAAUGUAUUAUUAGGUUUUAAUUGGUUUUGAAACUCCUAGAUCUUUGAGAUUCAUUGAACUUUUCAAAGGCAUGUUUCAAUCUCGAGUGUGCCCUUCAGGUUUUGUGACUGGGAUGCCGAGGAUCACAAAACAAGGUGUGAAGUAACCAUGCAAAUCACUUGGUACCCUUAAUAAAUUACCCCUCAAUCGAUGUGCCGGUUAACCACACACGCUCCAUCGAUACUAUGAUAAAUAUUAAGUCACCCUUUACCUACCUUGUUAAGUCCAAGUUAGUGUGCCGGUUAACCACACACGCUCCACUAACGACUUAGACAAAGUGUAAAGUGUAAUUUCAUGGAUUAGCACCUUAUUCACAUUUUUCCUAAGUAACUAAGAUUGGGUAUUAUUAAGAGUUUAGUUACUUAGUAUUAUCAUUAAUACUUUUAAUGAAGGGAGAAUUCUAGUCCUGUCAAACCCGUUCGGCUAACGACCCUCCACCAGUCAAGCAAGCGGUGGGUGAGAGUGGACACCCAUUAAGUUGCCAUUUUAUAGGCAACAACCUUAUACCCACCUUAUAGACCGGCUUCGUGAAUGAGGCGUACUAGCGGUAAGACUGACUUUACUCUUAUACAUAUAUAUAUUAUUAACUUAUAAUAUUAUAAAGUAUAAGGGUUGAAUUUUAACUUUUAAAAUUCUAAGGGCUAACUUGGAAUUAAAGUAUUCAUAAGUGAAAACUUUUCAAAUUCCAAAACUUGAGGGCAAGUUUUGAAACUAUUCAAAACUAAUUAAUUCCAUAACUUAUGUGUUUAAAGUAGUUUUAAUCCAAAAACUCUUCAAGUUCCAUAACUUGAGGACAAGUUAUGGAAGACUUUAAACUAAUAAAAGAACUAACUUUUUCUUUAUUUUAUAACUUAUGGAUUUAAUUAUGGUUACAUAUUUUUCUUUAAUGAAGUGACUCUUGAACUUCCAUAACUUGAGGACAAGUUAUGGAGUCAAAAAAAAUUAUUCAAUGACACAAGACUCUUCAUUUUGUAACCAUUACCAACUUUUAUGAGUUUUAUGAGUCUUUAAUGUGACUCUUCAUGUAACUUAAGGACAAGUUACACAAACACAUUUUAUACUCAACUCUUAGAUUAAAAUGGAUUGAAAACAACUAUUUCAAUUAACUUUUCUAUUAAUCUAAGCAACUCAUAAGAACAAGAUAAUUCAAAUCAAACUUUUUCAUGUAAUUAGUCUAAACCUUAAACUAAUACAAAACAUGAAUCUAUUGACAAUUAUCUUUGAAAAUGGAUUAGCAUGAACAUUACCACAUAAAAAACAAGUUUAUAAGUUCAAAAACAACUUAGGGUAAUGUUCCUAGUCCAUUUCUAGCCAAAAACCUCGAAAAUAUGUUGUCUGGGGUCCAACUCGUCGAGUGCAUGAACAAAACUCGUCGAGUUGGAUGCAUUUUGCCUUGGACACGUCGAGUCCCUUCAUGGACUCGGCGAGUCUGCUAGGCUGACAGCAUCAAUACUCGAUUUUUCAGCUUCUAUUGCAAGUAUAACAAGAAAACAAGCCUAGGCUCUGAUACCACUGUUGGGUUUUGAGCAUUCUAACACUCCUAAGUGUACAUGCAACCCUAAAUACCUUGGAUCUAUGUUUUCUCUAUUAUACAUGCAAAUAAGAACUUCCAAGGUAUUAUCCUAAUCUAGCAUACAAAACAAUGACUAUAGCAAGAUAGAAUACAUACCUCUUUGAUGUAGAAAGUCUUCAUGAAGCUUGAGUGCCUAGCCCCAAUAGUGUGGAAGCCUCAAAUGGAAUCACAAUCAUCAAAACACUUAGAAUAGCUUGAGAGAGUUCUACACUUCAUGAAAUCGGCUAGCCCUCUCUCGAAUAAUACUAGUGUAUCUAGUGGUGGAUUUUCCUCAAUAAUAAGAUGCUUAUAUAGUUAUACAAUUAGGGUAAACCCUAAUUGUCAUGACUUUCCAUUUCCUUGGAUCCAUGGGUUCAAAUACACCAUGGAGCAUCAUAUGGGUUUUGGCCCAACUAGAUAAUCCAUGGAGCAUUAGCCCACUAUACAAGUAUGGAUGAUUUACACAAUCAACCCAUAUAUUUAAUUAGUCUUCUUUUGAUCACUCAAUUAAUCCUAGAUUAAUUCUUGAUUAAUACUAAUUAAAUAAUCUCAUUAUUCUUAUUAUUAAUAUACUAGAACUUAUAAUAUAUUAAUAACCAUUAGUGUCUUAUUUCUCUCAUGAUAGUCUAUCCAAGUGCAUGAUGGUAUGCAACCCAAAUGGACCAUGCCGGGUCGGGUCAAGUCUUACCAAUUAUAGUUAUGGACUUAGACAUUAAUCCAACAUUAACAUGAUUACAUAUAUGCUAGAAUUAGGGUUUAUAGUCUUGGAUUCAAAGUAUGUACAAUAGAGAAACCUAGAUCCAAGCUUUAGGGUUUGUAUGAGCACAUAGGAUGUCUUAUACCCAAAACCCAUCACUAAUGACCUAUCAUCUUAUGUUGAUUAGACUCAAGUCUCUUAGAAUCUUCCAUAACAGACUUUACAUUCCUUCAUGUUCUAGUCUCAUCUUAAAAGGCAGCAUUUCUAGCUACAAGCUACUACCGCGAUACCUCUAUUGAUCGCUUUGAUUAUCUUUCACUUCAAUCUCUGGCUUAAGUGAGAUGCUACAUCGAACUUGGUUCUCUGAACCACGUAACAUACUCAGCUUAGUCGGACUCGAUUUUAUAUGACCACUAGGGUCGAAAAAACAAUCAUCUUCUUAGUCAUUUCCGAAACAAUGAUAAUGACAUACUUCAAUAGGCCUCUACUACCAUUCACACCUAUUCAUACUCGUCCCAACUAUUGUAUUGUAGUUUUCCAAGUUACUAUCACGAAAACAAUUUUAACACAUAAAAAUGUGUCCAAAUAAUCUUAAAACUUUCCCUAGACUCUACUAGGAUUUCUUCCAUGCAUAUCUUCAAUCAUCAAUUCUGUUUCAACUCGGUUGGUGGUGGAAACGCCACACGAUGAGACAACUUCAGAAAUUACACUGAUCGUUCCAUCAUCCCACCAAUCGAAGGUGUAAUUUAGAUGUACCGUACUCUUUUAAACGUACUGUUAAUGUUAUCAAACAUAUUCUAAAGGCAAGAUACCACUCUUACAAUAUCUUCCGAUAGGUAUCAUUCACUAUCAUAAACCUUUUCAUUUCCUCCAUUUACUCAAUUCUCUACGAGUCUUCAGCAUGAUGUUUGGCACACCAAAGCAGUCGUUUGGUGUGUCAAGACGAGAAUAUAGAUAGAGGAAGUUUUAGACGUGUAUUCCUCCUUAUUACUUCAAAAAAUUACAUGCCAGUUCUAAUAUCAUAAUUAAACGUUUAGAAAUCUGAACACGUCAAAUUUCCAAAUCCGGUCAGCAACAGACCACAGAUCGAAUCAAAUGAUAAUAUAAAAUUGUUAGAUAAGGUGUCUAAGUCCAUAACUAUUUCUAGUAUGUACUUGACCCGAAUCGGCAUGGUCCAUUUGGGUUGCAUGGCACAUUGCAAUUGAAUAGACUAAAUGAGAGAAAUAACACUUGUGGUUUAUUAAUAUAUUAUAAGUUCUAACAUAUUAAAAGUAUUAUUUAAUUAGUUUGAUCAAGAAUUAAUUAAGUGAUCAAAAGAUAACUAAUUAAAUAUAUCAAUUGAGUGUGUAAAUCAUCCAUAACUUGUAUAGUGAGCUAAGAGGCUCCAUGGCUUAUCAAGUUGGGUUAAACCCAUAGAAUGCUCCAUGGAUACUCCAUAGGAGUUACAAACCCAUGGGUCAUGGAAAUGAAGAGUCAUGACACAUUAGGGUUUACAAGGUGUAACCCUAGAUGUGUAACACUAUAUAAGGAGCAUACUAUCCACCAAAAUCGGCUACACAAAAGAGAAGUGAGGGCUAGGCCGAUUUUUAGAGUGUGUGUAUUCUCUCAAAAGUCAUUCCAAAAGCAUUUGGUGCUAUGUGAAGCUUUUGAGGCAUCAAACUUGGGGUGCUAGGCUCUCAAGAAUUCAAGGAAUCAAAAUGAACUACAAGGUAUGUAAUUCUAGCCAUCCUUUUAAGAUAAAAGUUCCCCAUGUAUGCUAGAUAGGAUUAUGAACCUUGGAAACAAAAUUUUGCAUGUAUUUAGACAAACAUACAUCCAAGGUUUAUCAGGGUUGCAUGUACACUUAGGAAGUGUUAGAAUACUCAAAACCCAUCAGUGGUAUCAGAGCCUAGGCUUGUUUGUGAAUACUUGAUGCAAAAUAGUAUUAAAAAUAGAUUUUUUUUUGUCUGCUCUGGGGACUCGACGUGUCCGUGGGGAGGACUCGACGAGUACAAGUGUAAAUGGAACCAACUUGACGAGUCUGUUAGUGCACUCAACGAGUUGGUCAUGCAGAAUGUAGAAAUUCGAUUUGUGCUACUGGAAAACAUUACCGGGAACUGUUUUGGUAUUAUAAAACUUGUUUUAGAUGGUGUAAUGGUUGAUCUAAUCCAUUUACAAUGGCUAAUAUCAACUUUUUAGGAUCAUAUGUGUUCAUAUGUUCUUGAAAUGUUGAUAUGAAUAUUCAUGUUCUUAUGAGUUCUUGAUAGAUCAUAGGAGUUACUUCUUAAUUUAUAUGAUUAAUUCAUGAUCUUUAUGUGUUUUAAUGGAGUCCAUAACUUGUCCUCAAGUUAUGGAUAACCAAAAGUCUCUUUGUGUUUAAAGCCAUUAAAAGAAUGCAUCAGUUAUUAAAUGAAGAGUCUUCAUUUUAACGACUCAUAAGUUAUGAAUGCGAAAGGUUUUGUAAAGUUACAAAACUUGCCCUCAAGUUUUGGAACAUGUGAAGUCAUCUAGUAAACUUUAGUUCCAACCCCUAGAAUUUUAAAAGUUAAAAUUCAACCCUUAUGCUAUAUAAUAUUAUAAGUUAAUAAUAUAUAUAUAUGUAUAAGAUAAAGUCGUCUUACUACUAGUACGCCUCAUUCACGAAGCCGAUCUAUAAGGGGGGUAUAAGGUUGUUGCCUAUAAAAUGGCAUCUUAAUGGGUGUCCACUCUCACCCACUGAUUCCUUGAUCGGUGGAGGGUAGUUAGGCGAACGGGUAGGACAAGGACUUAUAAAUUCUCAUUAAAAAGUAAUAUGAAUAUUAUAAAGUAACUAAAUGAUUUUAUUAAAUUCCCAAUCUUAGUUACUUUAGGAAAAAUGUGAAUAAGGUGCUAAUCCAUGAAAUUACACUUUACACUUUGUUUAUGUUGUUGGUGAAGCGUGUGUGGUUAACCAAAACACUAACUUGGACUUAACAAGGUAGGUAAAGGGUGACUUAAGGUUUAUCAUAGUAUCAAUGGAGCGUAUGCGGUUUACCGACACAUGGAUUAAGUGAUAAACUUUAAGGGUACCAAGUGAUUUGUAUGGUUGAAACAUUCCAUUGAAAAGUUCAAUGAAUCUCAAAGAAUCUAGGAAUUUCUAAUAACCAAUUAAAAACCUAAUAAUUAUAUUUCGUUUUUAAUGGUGGAAAUUGGUGAAUUGUCAUUCACCUAGCUUUCAAAUAUGUUAUAGCUUAGAUUGCGGCAUACCUCUUCUAAGUUAUAACAUAUUGUGACUGGAUCCUAGCCUUAAUAAUACAUUUGGGUGUUUUAUUCAGUACUCUCUUAAUAUCUAAACAAAUCUUGUCCUCUUCUUUCAGAUGUCUUCAAAUAAUAUUGUUUCUGGCUCUGAUCCUAAUGGCUCCUUACCCAUAUGAACUUGUGUGGGUUAGUCACUUUUGAUGGAUCCAACUUCAAUGAAUGGAUCAGAAACAUGAGGAUGAUUACCUGCUACGAGAACAGAGAAUAUGUCCUCGAUAAGGAGCUUAAGGAAAUUGAUGAGACCACUGCAGCUCCCCAAGAGAUUGCUGACUUCCAGGCACAUGAAAGGGAUGCUACAAAAGUGGAAUGCAUCAUGUUGGCCACCAUGACAUUGGAACUCCAAAAGUACUAUGAGGACAUCUACCCUUUUGAAAUGCACCAAGAUUUGAUGGAAAGAUACCAUCAAAGUGCACAAGAGAGGUAUGAAAUCAUUUGCUCCAUGAUAACAAGCAUGAUCAAGGACGGAGAGUCCAUCACGAGCCACAUGCAGAAAAUGUAAAGGUAUGUGGAUCGGAUGUUGAAGCUUAAUGUGAACUUCCCUAAGGAGCUUGCAAUAGAUAUCAUUUUGCACUCCUUACCAUCGUGCUAUGUGCACAUACAAAACCCUAAUAAACAUGUCUUAAGGGUAAGUCGGUUGUUGACACUCCUACUCCAAACUCCGCCCCGGUUUUGGCAAUCAGGAAAGGUCGAGGGAAGAAGAGAAACAACUCUUCGAAGGGUACCAAGGCUAGGACCCUUGAUGGCUCUUCUUCAAGUGGAACCAAGAAACGUUUUGUCACUCCUUGUUCUGACCCAAAAGAGGUUGAAUGCUUCUAUUGCCAUGAAAAGUCACAUUGGAAGCGGAACUGCCCAAAAUACUAGCAAGAUUUGAAGGAUGGGAAAGUUAAACUCAACCAUGCAGGUAUUUACACUAUCAUAUCUAAUAACUCACCCAUUCUAACUCUUGGGUCCUUGAUACCGGUUGUGGUAUUCAUAUGUGUUCUGAUUUGUAGGGACUAAGAAGAAGUCAGAAUAUGGAGCAUGGAAGAAUAAACUUAAUCAUGGGGAAUAGGAAAGCUUUACCUGUCACCAAGAUUGGAGUUUAUAAUUUAUCGCUAAGUAGUGGGUUUAAUUUAGAUUUGAAUAAAUGUUGUUAUUUGACAGAAAUGGCAAGAAAUAUUAUUUCCUUUCAUGCAUUGUAUAAACAAGGUUUCACCUUUUCAUUUGAUAAUGAAGUUGGUUUGAUUAAUUCUUUCUUUAAUAAUGUUCUUUAUUUUAAAGCAUUACCUUUUGAUGGGUUUUAGCCAUAUGAACAUUCCUAUGUGCACAUACAAAACCCUAAUGCUUGGAUCUAGGUUUCUCUAAUUGAACAUACAUUGAAUCCAAGACUUCUAAUGGCUAAUAGAGUAUAAUAACAAUAUAAAAUUAGAAUUAGAAGUUUACCUUGAAUCUCUUGCUUGAUCUUCUUGUCCUUGGAGCUUUUGAGUCCCAAUUGUCACUCCUCUAAUGGCUUACAAACACCAACUAGCAAGAUGAUUAUUUAAGAGAGAGGAGAGGGGAUCAAAUCGGCCAGGGUUUCUUUCUAAAGCACAAGUGUCGAUUUCUCUUCACCCCUAGUGUCUAUUUAUACUAGUUAGGCUCCUAGGGUUUCACCCUUAAACCCUAAUUGGAUAACUUAGGCCCUAAGCAAUCCAAUACCCUAAUUGAUAAGCCUUUGGAUGAUUUCAAGGCCUAUACAAAGUCCUUAAAACCAGCCACCCUUUAUCCAUCAGGGAUUUAUAGCCCAAAGUAUAACUAUCAUAUAUUUGACAGUUUAUGCCCCUUUGUUCAAUUAAUCACUUUAAGUCACCAAAUUAAUUCCUAAUUAAUUUAUGACUUAUAUUAAUCAAAUAACAAUACUAUUAUUCCUUAUAUUAUUCUUGUAAUAUAUUAAUAAUAUUCCUUCUCUCAUUAUAAAUCAUCCUGUCAAGUUACUAUGGUGAAGGCAACCCAAACCGACCAUGCACAACUGGGUCAAAUACUUGCCAAAUAUAGUUGCAUCCUUAGACACUAUUCCAACAAUCUCCCACUUGGAUAUGUCUAGUAACUAUAUAUACAAGUAUAUUCCGAUUAUCAAUCGUAGCUGUCAAAGACGCUGUCAAACUUUGAUCUAAUCAAUCUUGUCCUUUGGAUAAGGGAUCGUACAACCUCUAUUUAGAUAUCAUGCUGACAUUUCUAUGGAACCAAUUCUCUAGCAUUUGGUUUCUCAAUCUACGAUUUAUCUGACAUAGAACUUAAUCGAACACAUCAAUUAAGUUCUGACCGAGCCCAACACAUAAGUCAAAUCAAAUCAUCGAGCGGACGAGAUAUCGCUUUUAACCUCUUAGGAUAAAAGUAAUAAAUAAACUUUGACUUAUAUGCAUUUACUUAUUCAUUAAUCAAUCAUACACAACAAUGUGUUUUAUGACAUCAAGUUACUGAUGCGGUUUCGCAUUAUCAAUGUAUAACCAAUUAACAAAUAACAAACCAUAUAUCUAGGUUUUAAGACCAUAUGAUAUUAUCGUCUUGCGAUCACCCCUUUUAUCAUAUUCCAUAAGGUGAUUCCAGCAAGCGCGGGUUUGUUCCAAUGCUCAAUACUAGUUCAUAAGCACUCAUGAAUGCUGUAGCAACCUUUUGCCAUGUCUAAUACCAUUUAAAUAAUCUACAUACCAAUUCAUGAUAAUCCUUAUUCAUACCUACUUCCAAAAUAUGAAUGAUUGUGGACUAUUUGAAUAAUUCGAUUAUUCUUAAUAAACUCAAUUAUUCUAGAAGUCAAAACAUGCAAAAAUGAAACAAUAGUUAAAUGAUUCACAUAAGACAGUAACAUUACUCAGUAAUAAUACUCUUUUAUUUAAUCAUCAAAUGUUAAUUACAUUUAUCUAUUACACGUUUCCAAUACUAUCUAAUCUAUACUAAUAUCAUCCUUCAGGCCAAUACUCCUAGCAUGCUACAAGUGCUUAACCUUACUCAGUCCCUUUGUAAGCGGAUCUGCUGGGUUAUCUUCUGAUGAUAUCCUCUUCACCACGAGUUGUCCUUCUUCUACACGAUGUCUAAUAAAGUGAUAUUUUCUGUCAAUAUGUCAUGAUCUACCAUGAUCCCUCGAUUCCUUGGUCAAGGCAACCGCUCCUUCAUUAUCACAGAAAAUCUCCAUGGGCUCCUUUAUGGUAGGUACAACUCCAAGAUCACCGAUGAAGUUCUUCAACCAUAUUGCCUCCUUCGACGCUUCGCUCGCUGCAAUGUACUCUGAUUUGCAUGUUGAAUCAACUAGGGUUUCCUGCUUGGAACUCUUCCAAGUCAUUGCUCCUCCAUUAAGGGUAAAGACCCAGCCCGACUGCGAACGGUAGUUGUCCCUAUUGGUUUGAAAACUGGCGUCACUAUACCCUUGCACCUUCAAUUCAUCACUCCCUCCUAGAACUAAGAACCAUUCCUUCAUCCUCCGAAGGUACUUAAGGAUAUUCUUAACUGCAAUCCAAUGAGCUCUGCCAGGGUUCCCCUGAUAUCUACUAACCAUGCUCAAAGCAAAGGCUACAUCAGGGCGAGUACAAUUCAUAGCAUACAUGAUUGAGCCAACUGCGGAAGCGUAUGGUACUCAGCUCAUUUCUACUAUUUCAGCUUCAGUACUCGAACUUUGAGUCUUACCCAACUUGGCAUUACUUUGUAUCAGUAAUUCUCCCUUCUUCGAGUUUUCCAUACUAAAACGUUUUAGUACUUUAUCUAAGUAAGUAUUCUGACUAAGUCCUAUUAGUCUCUUACUUCGCUCUUUCACUAUCCUUAUUCCCAAAAUAUAGGAAGCCUCUCCGAGGUCCUUCAUAGAGAAGCACUUCCCGAGCCAGGACUUAACUUCCUGCAGAGUCGGGAUGUCGUUUCCUAUGAGCAGUAUGUCAUCGACAUACAAAACGAGAAAGCUAACUAUGCUCCCACUGGCUUUGACACAUACACAUGAUUCAUCUUCGCUUUGUACAAAUCCAAACUCUUUGACUUUCUCAUCGAAGCAAAGAUUCCAUCUGCGAGAUGCUUGCUUAAGUUCAUAAAUGGACUUCUCAUGCUUACACACUCUAUUCGGAUGCUUCAGAUCAACAAAACCCUCUGGCUGAGCCAUGUAAACAUCCUCAGCCAACUUCCCGUUAAGGAAAGCGGUUUUGACAUCCAUUUGCCAAAUCUCAUAAUCAUGAAAUGUGGCAAUUUCUAGCAUCACUCUAAUAGAUUUUAUCUUCGCAACUAGUGAGAAGGUCUCAUCAUAGUGAACUCCGAGAGUUUGAGUAAUGCCCUUCGCAACCAAUCGCGCCUUAUAUGCGUGUACAUUUCCAUCCACGUCGGUCUUCUUCUUGAAGAUCCAUUUGCACCCAACGGUCUUACGUCAGGGCACAUUAUCAACCAAAUUCCAAACUUGGUUGUUAUACAUGGACUGGAUCUCGCUGUCCAUUUCCUCAUUCCAUUUUGCAGACUCGGGGCCUGCCAUGGCUUCCUUAAAGCUAUUAGGUUCAUCUAGAUUUAUUAGUGUACCAUCACUAAUAUACGUGUCCCCUUCGGUAGUAAUAUGAAAACCAUAAAACUGGGGUUGAACUCUAACUCUAUCGGAACGUCUAAGAGGUAAGGACUCGUCAAUCGGUUCAACCGGAGUUUCCUCCUCGGGUUGAGUGCCAGCGGUAGAGGUUCCUUCAUCUAUCGACUCUUGAAUCUCUUCAAGCUCGAUUUGCCUCCCACUGUCUCCUUGGCUUAUGAGUUCUCGCUCUCGGAAAACUCCUCUCCUCGCAACAAAGACAACAUUGUCCUUCGGUCUAUAGAAGAGAUAUCCAAAGGAUUUCUGCGGGUAGCCGAUGAAAAUACAUCGCUCACUACGAGGUUCGAGCUUGUCGUGAGUAUCUCGUCUUACGAAAGCCUCGCAACCCCAAACCUUGAUAUGUGCUAACGAGGGAGCUUUCCCUGUCCACAUCUCGUGAGGUGUUUUGGCAACCUUCUUAGUAGGGACUCGGUUAAGGAUAUGGGCGGCAGUCUCUAAGGCAUACCCCCAAAAAGAGAUAGAUAGUGAAGCACGACUCAUCAUAGAGCGAACCAUGUCUAACAAGGUUCGAUUAUGCCUUUCUGCCACACCAUUCAAUUGUGGUGUCCUAGGUGGCGUCAAUUGUGAAACUAUUCCACACUCCUUGAGAUAGUCGUGGAAUUCAAGACUUAGGUACUCUCUUUCUCGAUCGGACCGAAGAAUCUUGAUUUUCCUGCCCAAUUGAUUCUCCACUUCAUUCUUGAACUCUUUGAACUUUUCAAACGUUUCUGACUUUUUCUUGAUUAAGUAGAUAUACCCAUAUUUACUAUAGUCAUCUCUAAAAGUCAUAUAGAAGCGGUUCCCAUCCUUUUUGGUUGAUCUAAACGGUCCACAUACAUCAGUAUGUAUGAGGUCCAAUAGACCCUCACCCCUUUCACAUGUACUAGUGAAGGGUGACUUGGUCAUCUUUCCAAGUAAACAAGACUCGCAUGUGUCAUCUUCCCUAAGGUCGAAUGACUCCAACACUCCAUCCUUUUGGAGUUGGGCUAUGCGCUUCUUGUUGACAUGUCCAAGACGACAAUGCCACAAGGAUGCUCUAUCCAUACCAUUGGAAGAAUCCAUGCAUAAAACAUCAUUUCCUAAGUUAUCUACAAUCAUAACAGUUUCAUAAAUUCCAUUACACGGUAUUGCUUCAAAAUAUAAGACACCAUUUAGAUAAGCAAAAAUAGAACCAUUCUCAUUAUUAAAAGAAAAUCUAAAACCUUGUCUAAACAAACCAUGAAAUGAAAUGAUGUUUCUUGCCAUUUCUGGCGAAUAGCAACAAUUGUUCAAAUCUAAACAUAAACCAUUCCUAAGCACUAAAGAAUACACUCCAAUCUUGGUCACAGGCGACGAUCUUCUGUUCCCCAUGAUUAGAUUUAUUCUUCCAUGCUCCACAUCCCUAUUUCUUCUUAGUCCCUGCAAUUCAGAACAUAUAUGGUAACCACAACCGGUAUCAAGGACCCAAGAAAUAGCAUGAGAUGAAUCGUUAGAUUUAAUUGUAUAAAUACCUGCGAAAGACGGCUUGAUCUUUCCUUCCCUUAUAGCUUGCAGGUACUCUGAGCAGCUUCUCUUCCAAUGCCCUAUAUUGUGGCAGUGGUGGCACUCUGCCUCCUUUGGGUUAGGAUUAGGCUUAGCGGGAUCAACUUUGGCCCCACUAGAAUAGGAACCGUCUCUGGACUUUCCCUUGUGGUGGCUCUUAGAAGGAGCCUUCCUCUUCUUGCCUCUUCCUUGCCUAAUGGCCAAAACAGGAGCAGUAGGUGGAUUAGGAGUGGGUGCAACAGACUUGUCCUUGAGGUUGCUUUCAGCAACCCUAAGGAGACCUUGGAGCUUUCUUAGGGUGACCUCUUCUUUGUUCAUGUGGUAGGUCAUCCUAAAUUGAUUGUAACACGGAGGCAAAGAGUGAAGCACCAUGUCGAUCGCCAAGUCUUCCCCAAAGUCAACAUUCAACUUGUGAAGACGAUCGACAUACCUUUGCAUCUUUUGCAAGUGCACGGUAAGAGAUUCUCCAUGACCCAUUUUGGUGGAAAUCAUGUUAGUGAAAAUCUCGUAACGCUCUUGCCUCGCGUUUUGGUGGUAUGUCUCCAACAAGUCUUGGUGCAUUUCGUAUGGAUACAUGUCCUCAUACGACUUUUGGAAUUCGGCAUUCAUGGUGGCUAUCAUGAUGCAAUGUACCUUAUUGCAUCACGCUCGUGAGUUUCAAAAGCAGCCAUUUCAGCCGGAGUAGCGAUUUCAGGGUUGUUCUUCUCGAGCUUCUCAUCGAGGACAUACUCCUUGUCCUCAUAGCGAGCAAUUAUGCGAAAGUAUCUUAUCCAUUCACUAAAGUUCAUCCCAUCGAAAGUCACCUUUUGACAAAGGCUCAUCAAUGUGAACGAGCUAGCAGCAGCGUUGUUCAUGUUCGACAUCUACAAAUAGAAAGGAAAAAGAUAGAUUACAAUAUGAAUCCCUAAUUAUUACCUGAUAAGAAAAUUAGGGCUAGGAUCCAACAACAAUAUUUACAUAUUAGAAAAGGUUUACCGUAAUCUAACAUGCAAACAUUUUGAAGGUAAGUAAAUGACAAUUCAGUAAUUCUCCACCAUAAAACAUAACUUUAAGUCUAAAUGUAUUGAGAAUUCCUAGGUUUACAUAAGAUUCAUUGAAACUUUUCAAUGGCAUGUUUAAAUCUCGAUAUGCCCCUGUCGUUUGUGACUGGGAUACCGAGGAUCACAAAGUGGGUGUGAAUUACCAUGCAAAUUCACAUGGUGCCUUCAUUGUAACAAUCACCUAUUCGACGUCCUGGUAAACCACACACGCUCCAUCGAACUAUGAUAAACAAUGAAUCACCCUUUUCCACCUUUGCUUAGAACCAAUUAGUGUGCCGAUAAACCACACACACUCCACUAACUUCUUAGCAAGGGUGCAAACUGUAAUUUCAUGGGAUUGCAUCAAUUCAGUUUUCCUAAAGUAAAAAGGAUUGGGAAUUUUUGAAAAACAUGUAGUUACUUUAUAGGUUCAUUAUACUUAUUAAUGAGGAGAGAGAGUUUCCCUAUCCUACUCGUUCAGCUAACGACCCUCCACCGAUCAAGCAAGCGGUGGGUGAGAGUGUUCACCCAUUAAGCGUCAUUUUAUAGGCAGCAACCUUAUACCGACCUUAUAGACCGACUUCGUGAAUGAGGCCUACUAACGGUAAGACUAGCAUUUUAAUUAUCCAUAUAUACAUAUUAAUCUUGUAAUAGUAUAUUAGUAUAGGGUUGAAUUUUAAACUUGUAAAAUUCUAGGGUUUGAAAUUUAAAUUGUCUAAAUUAAACUUUUAAUCACAAAACAUAAAUUUCAAAACUUGAGGGCAAGUUUUCAACAUUUUAAAACAUAAGGGAUCAAAUAACCAAUAAUCUAAAUUAACAUUUAAUCACAUAAUUAUCCAUAUUUUAUUUAUUUAAUGAUUUCUUGCAAAACAAUUUACCAGUUUAAUUAAAAUAAUUAAUCAAUUAUAACAUAAGGAAAUAAAUAUUUUAUUAAUUAUAAAUAUCUUCAAUUAGGUCAAGAAUAUACUCAUAUAUAUCAUAAAAUCGGAUUUAUAUUGAUCUAAUAUGAUAAAGGCAAGUAUCUCAAGGAUAAACAACAAGAAAUCCCGAAGUUAUCUCUUUCUGACGCUUGAACUCGCCAAGUACCCCGAUGGACUCGCCGACUUUCGCCUACUCGCCGAGUACCACCACGGGACUCGCCGAGUUCAUCAGGCAGAGGACAAAAAAAGAUUUUUGCAAGCAACAAACAAGUAAUAAAUGUUUCAAUUCAAUAGAAACCAAUCUAGGCUUUGAUACCUCUGAUGGGUUUUAGCCAUAUGAACAUUCCUAUGUGCACAUACAAAACCCUAAUGCUUGUAUCUAGGUUUCUCUAAUUGAACAUACAUUGAAUCCAAGACUUCUAAUGGCUAAUAGAGUAUAAUAGCAAUAUAAAAUAAGAAUUAGAAGUUUACCUUGAAUCUCUUGCUUGAUCUUCUUGUCCUUGGAGCUUUAGAGUCACAAUUGUCACUCCUCUAAUGGCUUACAAACACCAACUAGCAAGAGGAUGAUUUAAGAGAGAGGAGAGGGGAUCAAAUCGGCCACGAUUUCUUUCUAAUGCACAAGUGUCGAUUUCUCUUGAACCCUAGGGUCUAUUUAUACUAGUUAGGCUCCUAGGGUUUCACCCUUAAACCCUAAUUGGAUAACUUAGUCCCUAGGCAAUCCAAUACCCUAAUUGAUAAGCCUUUGGACGAUUUCAAGGCCUAUCCAAAAUCCUUAAAACCAGCCACCCUUUAUCCAUAAGGGAUUUAUAGCCCAAAGUAUAACUAUCAUACAUUUGACAGUUUAUGCCCCUUUAUUCAAUUAAUCUCUUUAAGUCACCAAAUUAAUUCCUUAUUAAUUUAUUACUUUUAUUAAUCAAAUAACAAUAUUAUUAUUCUUAUAUUAUAUUAAUAAUAUUCCUUCUCUCAUUAUAAAUCAUCCUGUCAAGUUGCUAUGGUGAAGGCAACCCAAAAGGACCAUGCACAACCGAGUCAAAUACUUGCCAAAUAUAGUUGCAGCCUUAGACACUAUUCCAAAAGGUGUGUAUGAAACUGUAUCUGUGGUUGAUAACUUAGGAAAUAAUGUUUUUUGUAUUGAUUUUGUUAAUGAUAAUAACUUGGAUAAAGCGUCAUUAUGGCAUUGUCGUCUUGGACAUAUAAGCAAGAAACGCAUAGGCCAACUCCAAAAGGAUGGAGUCUUGGAGAGGGGUAAAGGUUUGUUGGAUCUCGUACACACGGAUGUGUAUGGACCCUUCAAACAUGCCACAAGGGAUGCUAAUCGUUAUUAUUUGACUUUUACUGUUGAUUAGAGUAGAUAUGGAUAUGUCUACUUAAUCAAGCAUAAGCCAGAGACUUUAGAAAGGUUUAAAGAUUUUAAACAGGAAGUCAAGAAUCAAUUGGACAGGAACAUUAAAAUGCUUCGAUCCGAUCAAGGUGGUGAGUAUCUUAGUUCAGAGUUCCUCGACUAUCAUAGGGAAUGUGGGAUUGUCUCACAAUUGACAUCUCCCAGGACACCGCAGUUGAAUGGUGUGGCUGAGUGGCGUAAUCGAACCUUGUUGAACAUGGUUCGUUCCAUGAUGAGUUAAGCUUCGCUACCAAUCUCAUUUUAGGGGUAUGCCUUAGAUACUUCUGCCGAUAUCAUUAAUUUGGUCCUUACAAAGAAAGUUGCCAAAACUCCUCAUGAGAUGUGGACUGGUAAAGUACCCAUACUAGACCACAUCAAGAUUUGGGGUUGCGAGGCUUUCGUGAUAUGCGACACUCAUGAUAAGCUCGAACCCUAUAGCGAGAGGUGUAUUUUCAUCGGUUACCCACAACAAUCCUUUGGUUACCUCUUCUAUAGACUUAGUGAAAAUGUGGUCUUUGUAGCAAGGAGGGCUAUCUUUCGAGAGAGAGAGAGAGUUCAUAAGCCAAGGAAACAGUGGGAGGCAAGUUGACCUUGAAGAAAUUCAAGAGUCAAGUGGUGAAGGAACUUCAAACCAUAGCACUCAACUUAAGGAGGAAACUCCUGUUGAGCCAAUUGACAUGUAUGUACCUAUGAGGCGUUCCACUCGAUUUAGGAAUGCACAUGAGCAUUACUAUGGAUUCCAUAUUAUUGUGGAAGGUGAUACACUUAUCAGUGGUGAGACACUGAUAGGUCUGGAUGAACCUAACAGUUACGUGGAAGCCAUGGUAGGCCCUAAGUCAGCCAAAUGGAAAGAUGAAAUGGACAGCGAGAUACAGUCCAUGUAUGACAAUCAAGUUUGGAACUUGGUUGAGAAUGUGCCAGUUCGUAAGACUAUAGGGUGCAAAUGGAUCUUCAAGAAGAAGACCGACAUGGAUGGUAAUGUACACACUUAUAAGGCACAACUAGUUGCAAAGGGUUUCUCGCAAACUCUGGGAGUUGUUUAUGAUGAGACCUUUUCUCCAGUGGCUAAGAUUAAGUCUAUUAGGGUUUUGUCAAUACAGAGUAGCCUAAUAGAGUGUUUAAGCUUGAGAAAUCCAUUUAUGGAUUAAAGCAAGCACCUUGCAGAUGGAGUCUUUUCUUUGGUGAGAAAGUCAAAGAGUUUGGCUUUUAUAGGAGUGAAGAUGAAUCUUGUGUGUAUGUAAAGGCUAGUGGGAGUAUAGUUAGCUUUUUGGUAUUGUAUGUGGAUGACAUACUACUCAUAGGAAAUGACAUCCCAACUCUGCAGGAAGUUAAUUCCUGGCAUGGGAAAUGUUUCUCUAUGAAAGACCUAGGAGAAGCUACCUAUAUUCUAGGGAUAAGGAUCAUAAGAGACAGGAGUAAAAGACUAAUUGGACUUAGUUAGAGUACCUACUUGGAUAAGGUGCUAAAGAGAUUCGGCAUGCAGGACUCCAAGAAAGGAGAUUUACCCAUCCAGAGUAACGUCAGAUUGAGUAAGACACAAAGCCCUAGUACUGAGGCUGAGAUAGCAUAAAUGAGUCGAAUACCUUAUGCUUCAGCUAUAGGAUCGAUCAUGUAUGCCAUGACGUGUACUCGACCUGAUGUAGCCUUUGACUUGAGCAUGGUUAGCAGGUAUCAAGGGAACCCUGGCAAGGCACACUGGACUGCGGUAAAGAAUAUCCUCAUGUACCUACGGAGGACUAAGGACAGGGUCCUUACCCUCGGUGGGAGUGAUGACUUGAGAGUUGUAGGGUAUAGUGAUGCUAGCUUUCAGACUGAUAGGGACAAUUUCCGCUCUCAGUCAGGCUGGGUCUUUACCUUAAACAGAGGAGCAAUCUCUUGGAAGAGUUCCAAGCAAGAGACAGUGGUUGAUUCAACUUGCGAAUCAGAGUAUACAGCAGCGAGCGAGGUAGCAACGGAGGUGAUAUGGCUGAAGAACUUCAUUGGAGACCUUGGAGUUGUACCAGUUAUUAAGGAGCCAAUGGAAAUUUUCAGUGAUAGUGAAAGUGUAGUUUCCUUAGCCAAGGAACCAAGGGAACAUGGGAGAUCCAGACACAUCAACAGAAAAUACCAUUUCAACAAACAUCGAAUAGAAGAAGGACUCCUCGCGGCAAAUAGGGUAUCAUCAAAUGAGAAUCCAGCAGAUCCCCUCGCGAAGGGACUGACUCAGGCUAAGCAUUUCUAGCAUGCUCGGAGCAUAGGGCUGAAGGAUGAUAUUAGAUUUAGUAGUUAGAUAACCUCGAAAUUUGUAAAGUAUCUUUGACAUUAGAUGAUAAAUAAAAAGUGUUUUAUUUAUGAGUAAAGUGUUGCUAUCUUUUGUCGAUCAUUUACUAUAUUUCAUUUACAUGUUUUGACUUCCAGAAUAAUUAUUUUUGGUAUAUCAUGUUAUUCGAACCUCCGCAGUCAGUGAUAUCUCGGAAGUAGGUAUGAAUCAAGACUAUCAUGAUUGGUUGCUGAGGUCUAAGGUGUUGGACAUGGCUACAACAAUCAUGAGUGCUCAUAAGUUCUGAGAAUUGGACUCAACCCACACUCACUAGAAUCAGUUGUUGGAAUUUAUCUCGAGUGAUCAUGAGAUGGUAAUAUAAUAUAAGUCUUCAAACCUAGAGAUAUGAUUUGUUACUUAUGAGUUGCUUAUGCAUUGAUUGUACGUAAACACAAUGGGAACUCGAUGUUAUAAAACUUGCUUUUGUGUAUAAUUCAAUGAGUGGUAGAACAAAAUACUAGUCGAAGUUUUUCUGUUCCUUCUUGGAUUAGAAGCUGAUAUAUGGGCCCCUCGAUGAUUUUGUUUUGACCCGUGUAUCGGGCCCGGUCAGAACUAAGUUGAUGUGUUCAAUUAAGUUCUUUGUCAAACAAAUCGGAAAUCGGGAAACAAACUGCUGGAAAAUAAGUAAGACAUUGUUCCAUGUAUUGUCUGGCUAAUAUCUAGAGCAGAUGAUGAUACGAUCACUUAUCUUAAAUAGCGUAUCAUCAUCUUCACAAUUCCGAGAAACCUUGAAAGAGCUACGAUUGCUGAUCGGUUCCUGAAAUCAUACUUGCAUUUAUAUUUAUUAGACUUAUCCAAGUGGGAGACUGUUGGAUAAGGUGUGUAAGUCUAUAACUAUUUCUGAUAUGUACUUGACCCGACUCAGCAUGGUCCAUUUAGGUUGCAUGGCACCAUGCAAUUGGAUAGACUAAAUGUGAGAAAUAACACUUGUGGUUUAUUAAUAUAUUAUAAGUUCUAAUAUAUUAAAAGUAUUAUUUAAUUAGUAUGAUCAAGAAUUAAUUUAGAAUUAAUUAAGUGAUCAAAACAUAACUAAUUAAAUAUAUGGAUUGAUUGUGCAAAUCAUCCAUAACUUGUAUAGUGGGCUAAGAGGCUCCAUUGAUUAUCCAGUUGGGUUAAACCCGUAGGAUGCUCCAUGGAUGCUACAUGGGAGUUACAAACCCAUGGGUCAUGGAAAUGAAGAGUCAUGACACAUUAGCGUUUAGAUGGUGUAACCCUAACAUACUAUCCACCAAAAUCGGAUACACAAAAGAGAAGUGAGGGCUAGGCUGAUUUUUAGAGUCUCUGUAUUCUCUCAAAAGUCAUUCCAAAAGCAUUUGGUGGUGUGUGAAGCAUUUGAGUCAUUACACUUGGGGUGCUAGGCUCUCAAGAUUUCAAGGAAUCAAAAUCAACUACAAGGUAUGUAAUUCUAGCCAUCCUUUUAAGAUAAAAGUUCCCUAUGUAUGCUAGAUAGGAUUAUGAACCAUGGAAACCAAAUUUUGCAUAUAUUUAGACAAACAUAGAUCCAAGGUUCAUUAGGGUUGCAUGUACACUUAGGAUGUGUUAGAAUGCUCAAAACCCAUCAAAAACAUCAUAAAUCAUUUAGCCCAUAAAACCCUUUUAGAAAUCUUCCCUAAUUAAGUUAGUGCUUGUGUCUAUUCAAGUGUACUUCCUAAAAUAUAUUAGACACACUCCUCAUGAUCAUCGCUUAGCAUUCUAAGUUUAAAUCUAGAAAUAAAUCCUUAUUCCUAGUUCGCUUAAACUAAUGCUCUGAUACCAACUGUGACAUCCCCAUUUUCACGUCCAGAAAAGACCGAUUUUUGUUUAUGCUUUGUUUGAAAAUCAGAGUAACAUUUUAAAUAAAAGUGUUGCAGAAUUUGUUCCCAGAAAAACAUGAUAAAUACGUUGUCAAAGAAUUUUCGAAGAAAUGUACUUUUAUUCAUCUUAAAACAUUUGGGAUGUCAUCGUGAAUACAGAAACAUAAGCAUAAACAUAACUUAAACUCAUUAUCACUAGUGAUUUAUAUCUCCUUAAUCCAUCAGCAUAAUGUAACCUCACAUCAACACGUGUGAUACCAAUAAACUGAGUGGGUCAGGUUGGGAAACAUGGUAAGUACAUUGGGUUUUCAACCCACAAUAAUAUAAUUAUUAUGUUAAACAUCAAACAAUCAACCCAAAUACCCAUCCCCAUUAUCUUCUUUACUCUUAAGGAUCUACCCUAAAAAUUAGCUAUUCCUCGUUCAUUCAUUCCUAUGGAUCAUCCUAAGGAAUGCACACGAAAUCCAUCGUUACCAGGCUUUACGCAACAGGCACUAAGUCGCAUAGUCGCCAAGGUUUAUACAAUAGGGUACAUCUGGUGAACACGCAGUUCAAAACAUAUGGUGAACACUUAGUUCAAAACAUAUCGUGAACACUUAGUUCAAAAAUACCUAGUGAAUACGUAGUUCAAAAACACCUACAAGUUAGGAGCUUGCUAGUGUUCCACUAGACUGUCUAGAAUAGUCCAUGGUCGUUAUCUCUAGUCCGUUCGAUGGCCAAAUCAUCUCAAACAUCGAGGCUUCUCAUUAUUUUAUUUGAUCACAUAGCAACUAUUACAUCUACCCAUGUUUUACCCAGCACAUUUUGUAGAUAUAAAAUACAUAUACAGUUGAAAUUAUUUAAAACAUGUAUAAAAAUCUUUCACCCAACAUAAACAACAAGUAUUCAAAUAUUAUGCACACAUAGCACGUAAUUUAUAUUAAAUACUUCAUAUAUAUGUGUAAGAUGAAAGUAAUUAUGCACUCACCUGAUUAGGUGAUGACUCUGCACCUGGACAGCACUUCAUUACUCUUAAAACAAUUUCCUUCGACAAAACCUAGUAUCAUUACCACUAGGGUUUAUUCUAAUAUUCAUUGCGACCAUUUUGGCAUAUAGCACUUCUGAAAUCCAACAACCCUAUGCGACCCUUUAAACCAGAUUCCCCAUACCACAAGUGGCUAAAAAGAUAUUAUAACGACACUUAUAUAACCCAUAAUAAUAGCUCAAAUAUUUAUUAUAAGGUCCUAAUAACAUUAAUAUAUUGAAACAUAUGCUAUACUAAUGAUAGGAUAGGCGUAGCUCAUUUACAACGGGUUUUCUCAAUACCGGGCUUCGCUGGAGCAGCGUUUCCGAGCCGAAAGGCUCUUCUUCUCGGAGCCUUCGGGCACCUUGGGGCUUCUGCCUCAUGCUAGGGAGGUUCCCUAUGCUUUUAGGGGGGUUUCGGUGAUAGAGAUAGGUUGUAGAGAGUGAGGGAAGUGAUGGGAGGUGUGAGGAAGAAUGGAUGCUUCACCUCUUAUUUAUAGGGGGUUGGAGGGUCACUCACGUCAUGAGUUUUAUGAUGCUCACGUCGUGAGCAUCAUAAAACUAAGCAUUCUUUAUAAGUAUCAACAUAUAUAGUUAUAUAUGUUGGCUAAGUAUUGAAUUAAACUUAAUAUUAUAUUUAUAUGAUAGUAUGUUCGUAUCAACAUAUAUAGUUAUAUUAACUCGGAUAUAGUUGUUUUCCCUCAUAUAUACCUAAAGUAUAAGUAUGGGGAAACUUAUACUUAAAAUUAAUACUUUUAUAGCGACAAAGUAUAAUGUUUCUAAAAAUUUGCUACCAUGAGUUUGUAACCACUGCUUGACAACAAAACCUCUAACAAAACACACUCAUUAUUUACCAUGAGAAACAACACACUCAUGAUUUACCAUGAGAAACAAUACCGCGUACUUCAUCGACGUCGGAAAAAUAACAAAUAAAAGGUACGGGUCAUCACUCACUUGUCUUGGGUUGUAAUUAACAACCACGUGUGGGGUCGUCAACCCGUAUCUUAUUCAUACACGACUUCCUCACUCACACGGGAUUAACAGUUACAGGUCAGAGGACUUCCACUAAGAUCCCCAAUCUUAGUUGAUGAAUGAGGUAGCUCAUGUAGACUUUGGCGGUGUUCUAUAGUCCUAACAACAAAAGAAUUUUCAUUUCUAAAACCCUAAGUUAUUAUACUAUGCUUUUAAACAUUACUCCUAACUUCAUAACAUUUACGUAGUAUAACAGCUAUAACUUGAGGUAAAACCAGGUUUUAUAUUGACAUAAAACUACCAAUAAUAACACAUAACAUACCAGGUUUUAUCUUGACAUAAAACCAACAACAAUAACAUACUUAGAAAUCAAUAUAUAUCACUCUCGAGUAUAGCAUCGAGACUAUUACCAACUGUGACAACCCCAUUUUCAUGGCCAGAAAAUUUUGGUUUAAUUUAUGCUUUUAAAAUAAUUUCAGAGUAAUCCUUUGACUAAAUGAGUUGCGGAAGUUGUUCCCAAAACGAAAUAUGACAAAAUAAGAUUUACCAAAGCAUUUCUUAAUGAAAUGUAUUUUCAUUAUAUAACAAAACUCGGGAUGUCAUGUUUUGAUACAGACCAAAAGCAUAAACGGCACAUUAUAAGCCUUACAACAGUUAUAUACACUACAAGCCUAAAACUAAAAUAUCUUGAUAAGUCAUUCAACUUAUGCUCUUGCGCCACUACCUGUAAUACAAAGAAAACUGAGUGGGUCAGGCUUGGGAGCCUGGGGAGCAUAUAGGGUUUCAACCAACAAUAAAAAAAAUAAUAAUUUCAUCAAACAAAAAUAACCCGAUUAACCAUUCCCGUUAUCCUCACUUUACGUCCCUAAAAACAACUAUCACAAGGGACCUACUCUAAGGAUUUUCAUCGGGGCGACAACACUACUUGGGGGGUUUCCCAAUAAUUUAUGUCAAAUAAGGAAACCAUGUGGGGUAUGGAGUAUAGCAAAUGAACACCCAAUAUCAUUAGCACCUACAGGUUGCGAGCCUGCCAGCGUUCCACAGGACUAUCUAGAAAAGUAUGUGGUCGUCAUCCAUACUUUGCUAGAUGACUGGAUCAAAAUAAGAUCCAUGCCUCUCAUCAUUUCAUUUCAUCACACAUCAACUAUCUACCCAUAUUUUACCCAACAUAUUUGUAGAUAAAAAUACAUAUACAGUUUAAUUUAUUUAAAAAAAUUGUAUAAAUCAUUCAUUCAUCAUCCAUCUCAAAUAAAUAAACAAUAUAUAAUCACAUAGCAUGUGUUUUAUAUAAAAUACUUCAUAUCUAUGUGUAAGAUGAAAGUGAGUAUACACUCACCUGAUUUAAUGAUAAUCGGGCAACACCUCAUUUCCUAAAAUGAUCGUUUUCGAUGAAACCGGGAGGCUUUUUAAUGAAAAACCGACCUUACACGGGCAGAGUUUCGGCUUGUAAAUAUAAUUUUCUCAGGAACUUCGGAGCUUUGGGACUUGCUUCAGGUCUCGGGGAUGAUACCGGGACUUCGGGGGUAUUUCUCGCAGAGUAGAAGAGAGAAAAGGGGUGAAAGAUGAGUAAUGUAGCAACCAAAACUGGCUACCCCUUGGUUCUUCUUUAUAGGGUAAAAAUUUGUGGUUCUUCUCGUGAACCAAGUAUGUUCACCUCGUGAAUUCGAUCCUGAUCAUCUCCUAGGCUUCCCGUGUAUCUUCUAGGCUCGAAAUGUGUCAUGCAACGAAUUCACCUUGUGAAUUUCAAUGUUCACCUCGUGAAGGUCUCGAAGUUUGUGCCCCGAACUUCGAAAAUUCAUAACUUUUGCAUACAAAAUCCGUUUUUGACGUUAUUUAUUUCCACGCAUAGGUGAAAUUAUAAUCUACAACUUUCAUUUAGACUCCGUCGGCUAAUUUUAAAUUCAUUUUUAUUGUUAUAUUUUUAACAUGUCGGGAUAGGAAAAGUCUGUUAAAAAUUCAUAACUUCUUCAUUCGACGUCUGUUUUCACCUGUCUUUUUACCGUUGUACUACUAUUGACGAGACCUUUGAUUAUCGUUUAGGUUGUGUCGGCUAAAAAUCCCUCGAUCUAAAAUUCGAGUUUUUAGUUGUUUACUACUAAGCUGAAACUUAGAAAAAUCAUAACUUCCUCAUAUGAAGUGAGAUUUGGGCGUUCUUUUUAUGCAUACACUCAGUUUAACGAACACUACAACUUUUAUUUAGAUCACCAAGGAUAAAAAGUAGUUUAUCAAAAAAUCACUUUUUACAUCAUUCGGCGCCUUGCCGGUUUUAUUGCAAAACUUUGACAGAUCAUAAUUUCUUCAUUAUAACUCGGAUUUUGGUAUUCUUUAUAUCUCCGGAAUCCUUGUUUCAGCCACUAAAACUUUCUGAAUAGAUAUCAACUUUAUCUAAUAUUUAUUUUUGACGCUUAUUUUUAUUCUUAAUUCAUUAAUCAUAAUAAUUAAGCAGAUAAGCACAUAAUUCACAUAAUAUUCACAUAAUACCUCUUUAUUAUUUCAAAAUGAGUUACAAAGGUUAACCUAUACUAUUAUGUAAAUAUUAAUGCUUAGUCUAGAAACACGGGCGUUACAACUCUCUCCCCCUUAGAAUAAUUUCAUCCCCGAAAUCACACAUAAGCAAACAAAUGUGGGUAGCAACUCAUCAUGUCACUCUCUGUUUCCCAUGUGAGAUUUGGCCCAUGUUGCCAACGCACAAGCACUAAAUCGACCAUCUUGCGUUGCAACUUUAUAGUCUUACGGUCAAUGAUUGCCUCUGGUUCUUCAAUUAACCUCUUAUUUUCAUCAAUUCUUAAUUCAAAUACUAGAAUUAUGUCAGGUAUAUCUCCCAUCAAGUUCCUCAAAUAACACACAUGGAAGGUGUUAUGAAUACCAUCUAGUUCUUCUAGUAAUUCUACCUUGUAAGCUUGAUUCCCAAUCCUCUGAAGAACUUUAAACGGUCCAAUAAACGUUGGACUUAACUUUUCCAUUUUUCCAAAUCAUACAAGUCCUUUCCAAGGAGAGACUUUAAGCAAAACCGAAUUCCAACUUCAAAAGUUAUCGGUCAUCUUUUCUUGUCAGCAUAACUCUUUUGAUGAUCCUGAGCUGCGCACAUUCUCUCCCUAAUAACUUUUAACUUUUCAGUAGUCUAAUGGGUUAUCUCAAGUCCCACAAAUUGCUUUUCCCUAGCCUCAAGCGAACAUGACGGCGUACCACACUUCUCUCCUUACAAAGCUUGAUAAGGUGCAAUCUUACUGCUCAAGUGGAAACUUUUAUUGUAGGAAAAUUCGACCAAAGGUAAAUGCUCAUCCCGGUUACCUUGGAUUUCCAAGGUACAUGCUCUCAGCAUAUCUUCAAGUGUUAGUAUCGUUCGUUCGCUCUGGACCAUCAGUCUGUGGAUGGUAAGCUAUGAAGUGUGCACUAUUAGUGAAGCGAUCCACGACCAGCCAAAUCAUGUUGUGACUGUUCUUUACUUUGGGAAGUUUAGUGACAAAAUCCAUAUUGAUUUCUUCCCAUUUACCCAUGGGUACAGGUAAAGGUUCUAAACUCCCAUAUGGUUUCUGAUGUUGUGCCUUCACUUUUGCACAUGUCACACACUCGGCCACAUAGUUUGCAACAUCAAACUUCAUCGUUGGCCACCGGUAAUAGGGUUUUAGGUCCCUAUACAUUUUACUACUGCCUGGAUGAAUUGAAUACAUGGUUUUGUGAGCUUCUUCGAUUAGAAGAUCUCUUAAUCCUACUGUCUUAGGUACCCAAAUCGAAUCUUGGAAUACAUUCAGUCCAUGACUGUUUAUACCGAACACUAACGUUUUGCCCAAACGUUCUUCCUUUCGGUGAUUCUUCUCUGAAGCUUCUUUUUGGGAUUUUUUUUAUACUUUCCACAAUUGUCGAGACAACUUCUAUUCUCAACGCCCUUGGCCUUUUUCUUUCGAGAUUGACUUUCCGACUACGAGCAUCAGCAACAACAUUGGCUUUACCGGGGUGGUAAAGUAUCUCAUAGUAGUAGUCCUUGAGUAACUCUAGCCAACGUCUUUGCCUCAUAUUCAAUUAUUUAUGAUUAAAGAGAUAUUGGAGACUCUUAUGAUCAGUGAAAAUUUUUCACUUCGUGCCAUAGAGGUAAUUCCUCCAUAUUUUUAGCGCAAAUACUACCGCUGCCAACUCCAGAUCAUGAGUGGGGUAGUUCUUUUCAUGCUCUUUCAAUUGUCGAGAUGCAUACGCUAUCACCUUUCUAUCUAGGUCAAAAGACAACCCAACCCAACGCUAGACGCAUAGUUAUAGACAAUGAAGUCUUUAACUCCAUCGAGUAGGGAAGAAUCGGUGUUUCACAUAAUUUAUUCUUUAGUAACUCGAAUGCUACUUUGAGCUUAUCAUUUCAAGUAUGAAUAGCUCCUUUGUGGGUCACAGAUGUUAAUGGAGUAGCGAUCAAAGAAAAGCAUUGGAUAAACCUUCGGAAAUAUCCAGCUAAUCCUAGAAAGCUUCGGAUCUUCAUGGGACUUUUUGGUUGCUCCCACUUCAUCACAGUUUCAUUCUUUGAUGGAUCAACCAUUAUCCUUUCUCGGUUGACCAUGUGACCCAAGAAUUGGACUUCUUGAAUCCAAAAAUCACAUUUGGAGAACUUUGCAUAUAGCUUCUCCUUCUAUAAGACUUAUAACACUUCUCACAAGUGUUUGGCACUAUCCUCUUGGCUUUUCGAGUAAAUCAGAAUGUCAUCUAUGAACACUAUCGGAUUUAUCGAGGAAUGGUUUACAAACCCUAUUCAUCAAAUCCAUGAAUGCUGCUGGAGCAUUGGUUAGUCCAAAUAACAUAAAUAAAAAAUCAUAGUGCCCAUAUCGUGUUCUGAAUCUAGUCUUCUCAAUAUCCUACUCUCUUACGUUUAGCUGAUGAUAUCCUGACCUAAGAUUGAUCUUCGAGAAAUAGCUCAAACCUUGCAACUGAUUGAACAGGUCAUCAAUCCUUGGCAACGGGUACUUGUUCUUUAUUGUAGCCUUAUUCAGCUCUCUGUAAUUGAUGCACAUUCUCUUGCUUCCAUCUUUCUUCUUUAAGAAUAACACCGGAGCUCCCCAGGGUGAUGAACUAGGUCAAAUAAAACAUUUGUCCAAUAAUUGCUAAAGUUGUGUCAUAAGCUCUUUCAUCUCUGUUGGUGCUAAUCGAUACAGUGCUUUUGCUAUCGGCGUCAUUCCUGGUAACAAGUCGAUACAGAAUUCUGCUAGUCGGUUAGGGGGUAAUCAAGUAAGAUCUUCAGGAAAGACUUUUGGGUAAUCACACACCACUGGUAUACUCUGCACCUCCUUUUUCUCCUUUUUUUCAUCGAUCACGAAUGCAAGAUAUGAUAUACAUCCCUUGGCCAAACACUUUCUGGCAUUCAUUAGGAAAAUUAUUCCGGAGUUCACUCUGCAUUUUUCUCCAUACACCAAAAACGACUCUUUCCCUGGCGGUUUUACUUUUACUAUGUUCUUCCAGCACAAUAUUUCAGCAUCAUUGGCGCUAAGCCAAUCCAUUCCUAGAACGAUGUUGAAACCAUUCAACUCGAUAGGAAAUAAUUCCUCAUGGAACUUAUUCCCAUUCAAGUCAAUGAAGAUGUUAUUCAUGCGAUGGCUAACUGGUAUAAACUUGCCACUAGCAACCUCGAUUAUUAAAGCAUUAACUAGUCUAUCAAUAGGCAAAGCUAGUUUUCUACCAAAUUCAUGCGAAAUAAAGGAGUAAUUGGAUCCAAAAUUAAACAAAAUUUGGGCAAGAAAUUUGUUUAUGAGAAAGGUACCUGAAGCGACAUCAACUUCAUCUUUCAUAGCUUCAAAUGUUAUAUGAAAGGCUCUCCCCUUCGGCUUUGGUGGAAUGUUGGGUUUUGAUGCGUCCUUCUUUUUCGGACUGUCUUUCAAAACGUGCCCUUCCUCGUUACAUCCAAAGCAUACCAUCUUGUUGGAGGGACAUUCAUUGGCAUAAUGCCCAUCCUUUCCACAUUUGUAGCAAGUCACCUACUCACAACAUUUCCCAAAGUGCUUUUUCUUGCCACGUGGCAUCGCACAUAGGGUGGAAAUCAUCCGAUUUUCAAAAAUUCAUAAAUUUCGCAUACGAGCUCCGUUUUUGAUGUUCUUUGUAUCCACGUGUAGGUAAAAAUAAAAUCUACAACUUUCAUUUUGACUCUUUUGGCUAAUUCUUGACUGAUCUUAAAUUUAACAGUACGACGAGAUUAUAUUGUUAAAUGUCCGCGUAAAAUUCAUAACUUCUACAUACGGACUCCGUUUUCAUCUGUCCUUUUAUUGUUGAGUUCCUAUUAAUGAUAUCUUCAACUCUCAUUUAGGUCGCGUAGGCCAAAAACCGCUCGAUCUAAAAUUCGAGUUUCGGGUCGUGCACUGCUAAGCCAAAUUUAGAAAAUUCAUAACUUCCUCAUACGAAGUCAGAUUUCGGUGUUCAUUUAAUGGAAACUCUAGGUUUAAAAUAUUCUACGAAUUUCAUUUAGAUUAGUAAGGCCAAAAUGUCCUCUAUCGUAAAUUCACUAUUUACGUCUCCUGGUGUCGUGCUGGUUUUGCCGUAAAACUUCGACAGGCCAUAACUUCUUCGUUAUAACUCGGAUUUCGGCAUUCUUUAUAUGUACGGAACCCUUGUAACGUAUACUAAAACUUGGUUAAGAUUAAUCCUUCUAAAUAAUAUUCCAUCAAAAACUCAUUUUUGAUGCUUAUUGUCUCUAAAUUGACUAGCCCGAAUCUGCAGGCAUUACAGUAAUGAGUUGUACGAUUGGUAGUGGUAGUUUCCUGUAUUUAUGUGCCUACUUGAUCUAUUGUUUGUUUAUAUGUUGACAUAUUGUGGCAGUUGAAGUUGAGGCGGCCCUACUGUGUGUUGUAGGCCAAGACACCAGGUGCAGGUCGGCUAUAAGCCAUAGGCACAUAGGCUCAGGAAGAAAGGAUGAGUUGAGGUGACAGGCCAACAGAAUCAGGGUAAUCCAGUUUGAUGAUUGUGGAUCCAAUAUACUGUUGGAUUAUGAGCAUUCUAACACUCCUAAGUGUACAUGCAACCCUAAAUACCUUGGAUCUAUGUUUUCUCUAUUAUACAUGCAAAUAAGAACAUCCAAGGUAUUAUCCUAAUCUAGCAUACAAAACUAUCAAUAUAACAAGAUAGAAUACAUACCUCUUUGAUGUAGAAUGUCUUCAUGAAGCUUGAGUGCCUAGUGCCCCAAGUGUGACACCUCAAAUGGUUCACACAACACCAAAUACACUUGGAAUAACUUGAGAGAAUUCUACACUUCAUGAAAUCGGCUAGCCCUCUCUAGAAUCAUACUAGUGUCGAUUUUGUCAUGAAUAAUAUCUUUAUAUAGUGUUACAAUUAGGGCAAACCCCAAUUGUCAUGACUUUCCAUUUCCUUGGAUCCAUGGGUUCAAAUACACCAUGGAGCAUCCAUGGACCAUCCUAUGGGUUUUAGCCCAACUUGAUUAUCCAUGGAGCAUUAGCCCACUAUACAAGUAUGGAUGAUUUACACAAUCAACCCAUAUAUUUAAUUAGUCUUCUUUUGAUCACUUAAUUAAUCCUAGAUUAAUUCUUGAUCAAUACUAAUUAAAUAAUCUUAUUAUUCUUAUUAUUAAUAUACUAGAACUUAUAAUAUAUUAAUAACCAUAAGUGUCUUAUUUCUCUCAUUAUAGUCUAUCCAAGUGCAUGAUGCCAUGCAACCCAAAUGGACCAUGCCGGGUCGGGUCAAGUCUUACCAAUUAUAGUUAUGGACUUAGACAUUAAUCCAACAGUCUCCCACUUGGAUAAGUCUAAAACUAUUAUUGCGUAUGACUUCAGGAACCAACUGGCAAUCGUAGCUCUCAAAAGCUUCUGUCGAACUCUGACCUUGUAGAUGAACUCUGACCUUUGUCAAUGACUUGUCCAUUAGAUAAGGGAUCAUAUAUUCCUCCAUUCUAGAUAUCAUAUGGACUGAGACAUGGAUUAUAAUCAUUCUCUCUGUCCAUUUGUUGUUUCCCGAUUUCCGAUUUAUGACGACUGACUAAUUGAACAAAUCAAAUCAGUCCUGGCCCGGCCGAGCACUUCCAUUUGUCAUCAUCAAAUCAUCGAGGGGCCCACAGAUAUCGCUUUUAUCCCGAAGGUAAAAGGAAUGGAUAAACUUCGACUCAUAUGGCUUGUUCUACUACUUGUUGAAUCAUACACAAAGGCACGUUUUAUAGCACCGAGUUACCAAAUGCGUUUUCGUGCAAUCAAUGUACUAUCAACUCAUAGUAACAACUCAUAUCUCUAGGUUUGAAGAAUAUAAGAUAUUAUCGUCUCAUGAUCACUCGUGAUAAAAUCCAUGAAGUGAUUCCAAUGAGCGCGGGUUGAAUCCAAUACUCAGAACUUAUGAGCACUCAUGAGUGUUGUAGCCCUUUGUCCAACACCUUAGACCUCUACAAGCCAACCCAUGACAGUCUUAAUUCAUAUCUACUUCCAACAUAUGACCGACUGUGGAUGGUUUGAAUAACUUAGUCAUUCCGGAAGAAUAACCUAGUUUAUUCGGGAAGUCAAAACAUGCAAAGUGAAACACAAUAAUAAUUGAAUCCAAUAUGGUAUCAAAACUUAUGAACAUAAAUAAAACACCUUUUAUUUAUCACCAUAUGAUUACACAUUAUUCAUUGUAUACUGUUUCAGCUAUCAACUUUAUUCUUGAAUUUAAAACAAUAGUUGUCCCAUGCUCCAAGCAUGUACACUAUGUUUUCUUAAACACUAGUCAUGCCACACACCAAGUAUGCAUACUAUGUUUGUCUAUGAUCUUUACUUUGUGAACUAGAUCAAUUGAACAUAACUUCAAUGAUUCUCUUUUCACACUCCCAAAUCCUUACUGCAAAUGCAAGAAUUCCAAAUUCAUGCCAUUUACUGAAAUCUGUUAGAUUCUAAACUUAUAUGCAUUGAUCCUCUUGUAAUGAUUAUGCACAAAGUCAGAAAGACUUGACAACAAUCAUUACAGAGUAUUCCAAAGGAGAUCAGCUCCUUGGAAACAUCCUUCUUGCAUUAAGUUUCCUAAUCUUAAACAGAUUGAAAAUUCUAACUUUGAAACAUUUCCAGAUUCCAUUUUGACUAUCACUUCUGAACAAGAGUUGCCUCCUUACAGAUUAUGUCAAUAUGGUCCUUCCAGAAUUAUCACUAUACUUCCAACUGUCCUUGAGCAACCAAUCUUUGGUAAACCUUAGAUUGUCCUCGACAAUUGUUUAAUCCUUUUAGUCAUAUCCAGUUCUAAACCUUUUCCCUUCUUAAUGCCCCAGGCAUUUGGAAAAUUUUAGAACGGAUGAAUAUAGCACAUGUAAUCGAUCCUAUAUCCGAAGCAUAUGGGACACGAUUCAUGAUGUCUCACAUAAAGACUAAACCAGUCUUUUGCUAUAACAUUUCCAUUUCAAUUUGCCAAGUUCUCAUAAUUCAGAUUAUGAAAAGGGAUGCCGUAAUCAUAAUCGAAUUUUAGAACGCAAAUAAUGGACCCAUAUACAGAAUUUCCUUAUGUUGAGCCAUUCCAACAUGAAAUUCAUAUAUAUCCUUGACUAAAUGAUUAAAACCUCACGAUCUAAGCUUAUAGAUUUGAGAUGAAGUAUAAUUUCCUCUCCCUUAAUUAUAGCAAAACAACUUUUUCCAAAUUGAAACUUUUGUUUUCUAUAAUUAACAUUGCUAACUUGCAAUACUUAUCAUAAUUAUCAUGCUCCCACUAACAUGAUGAUUAUUAGCAUAACACUUAUGCUCCCACUAGCUUUGACAUGUACUCAGAAAUCAGCUGGACUUCUAGAAAUCAAUACUUCAUUGACUUUCUUACCAAAGUUCAGAUUUCUGAUGCUAGAUUGUUUUGAUAAAACUUUAUCAAAAUCAUACACCUUCCCUUAGAUAGCACACUUGUGUGUCUAAACAAUUAUGAAGAGGUAUGCCGUAAUCAUAAUGGUUAGACCUUUUUGCCACUUCUCACAAGUCCAGGUUAGUGUGCCGGUAAACCACACACGCUCCACUAACGACUUUGAGAAUGCAAAUAUCACAAUUGCUAUCUAGCUAAAAUCUACUUAGUGAAAGUGUUUCCUCACCAUCAUUUUCAUGAAUCGGAGAGAAACCUUAUGACACUUAGAUUUAAUGGUGUAUGUGUUCUUAUCCAUGUGAAUUGUCAAAACCAUAGUCACAAGACAAGGAUAAUGACAAAUCCAAACUCAUAUGGACUGAACUCAAUCUUAAUUUCUUGCCACCUGGCAGCUCAAGGGCCUGCCAUUGCUUCCAAGUUGUUGUGCAACAAAUUGAGAACUCUAAGAACUCAUAUGCAAAGCCAACUUUAACUGGAAUGGGCACAGAAUAUGUCAACACGAUAGGUUAUGAACCUCAAGUCGUGUGCUAGUGAAGAACUUCAGGUUUUAUUCUUGAUUAGUUCUUGAGACUUUCAAGACCUUUAAGACUCCCACUGUCCUCUUGACAUAUAAGACUCCCUUGUCAAACAUCCAAGAGAUAGUGCGGAUUCUAAUCAAGAAAAACACUUUACCCAAUUGGCCUAAGUUGGUCUUUGUUUUAUCCAAAACAUCACAACUUACCAAUUUCAAAUGUACAAGAGUAGAAAACUUUUACUCUUACAUUUGACAAGUGUUUUAAACCUUCUUUAAGACAUGUCACUCAAAUGACAAUCUUGGAGUAUGACUCUAAGACUUGUAUUGGAACGAAGUAUGACUCAUCUUCUUGAUUUAACCAUUUCAACAAUUCAAGUUCCUCUUCUUAGUCAUAAGAAUGCACUAAGAUUUCCUUAGAGAACUAAUUUUGAUAUGGUUUCUUAAUCAUUAAGAUGAUCACAAAACUGAUACUAAAGUACUCUCCCAUCUUUUCAGAUUUGAGAAACUUUUAUCCUUCUGCCUAAUUUGAUUCUUCUUAUUCGCCCUGCCAUACAUUGGAACCUUUUCCAAUGUCUCAGAGUUACACUUAAGCUUGUAAGUAUAAUCAUAUUUACUGAGCUUUAGUAAACUAUGACGAAUAGUCUUAUCAAUCUUUUGUGGUGGACUUAAUCAGUGCACAAGAAUGUGUACUCGAUCCCUUAGUCCUUUACUUGACUCACACAUCCAUGUGGCCGAGUAAUUAGUCUUAAUUUUCCAAAACUUGAAAGUUCUCAUUCAUCAUGCUAUACAACUUGCAUGAUUCCAAGUUCCGGUCCAAUUGAAACUUGGGUGAUGAGAAUCUUUCCUUAUUUGGUAAAUCUAGACAUUACCACAAAUGAAAGAAUCAAUUUCAUAUUUCCACUCUUGCUCUUAAUGGAAUCAUAUAAGCAACAAUUUUUCCUCAAAAGCCAUUGUAAGGAUAUUUUAAAAUAAAUAAAAUCAAAAAAUUUUUCUUUUAUUUUAAAACUUUGCGGAAAAACUUAUCCUUACAAUCCAUAUGAAAACUUGUUGUUAUCUAUUCCUAAGCAAUAUCUCAUAACUCCUAAGAAGUUGCUCAAGAAUCCGAUCUUCAAACUAUGCGAUAGAAAUCCAUCUACGCCAUCAGAUUCAGCAUAUUCUUUCUUUAAGUUUCUUCACUUUUCUUUGAUUCUUAAAACAUCACCAUGUGACCCAGUCACAUCAUGUAUCAGGAAUCUCAGAAUAGAAACUUAACAGAGUUAGAUAGUGGACUUUACCUGAAGUAGAGUCAAACUUAUUGACUUUAACAUCCUUAGGUAAAUUUGGCAGCUUCGCAACUAAUGACCCUUCCUUUGGCAAUAUAAACAUAUGGACCCUUUGAUAAUGGUACACGGGACUAUUACAGACUUAGCCUUUUCUCUUUACCAUUUGGUCAACCUAGUUGACUAUGGUCAAUCCCUUUCCUUAGGAAGAGAAUGCUUUUUCUGUAUUUCCAGUGUCACCAUUGUCAAUGUCCAUAAAUUUUCAGGAAGUUGAUCUUAGCAAAUAGAUAAGAUCAUUAAGGGUCUUGUCAUAGUAUGUUUCAUAGGUGUUCCAAAAGAACUCACUAUGUGAAUGAGAAAGUAGUUGAACCACCAACUUCCUCAAGACUUUGACACCCUUCUCUCCCGGCUUGUCAAUAUGUGACUACAUCUCCAAGAUGUGACCACACCUAGACCUUCACUUGCCAAUAGGGUUCGAGUGACCUUAAACUUUUAAGAACUUGUGGAUUAGGGAGAGUAAUUGGAGGAGGUGAAAGAAGUAUGAUUUCCAAGGGACAUCAUCUUCAUUAGGAAAGCUUGUUUCAAUAGAUUUGGGAAGAUCAUAAAUGUCUAAACCAUACAUCUUUUUGGUGAUAUUCAAGAUAGUUGAUCUUAAGUCCUUAAUAUGACACCCAAUAUGAAAUAUUAAGGCUAGGACCCAACAAACUAUUUUAUAACUUAGAAGAGGUAUGCCGUAAUCCAAGCUAUAAAAUAUUUGAAGGUAGGUGAAUGACGAUUCACCAAUUUCCACCAAGAUAAACGAAAUGUAUUAUUAGGUUUUAAUUGGUUUUGAAACUCCUAGAUCUUUGAGAUUCAUUGAACUGUUCAAAGGCAUGUUUCAAUCUCGAGUGUGCCCUUCAGGUUUUGUGACUGGGAUGCCGAGGAUCACAAAACAAGGUGUGAAGUAACCAUGCAAAUUACUUGGUACCCUUAAGUGUUUACCCCUUAAUCAAUGUGCCGGUUAACCACACACGCUCCAUCGAUACUAUGAUAAACAUUAAGUUACCCUUUGCCUACCUUGUUAAAUACGAGUUAGUGUGCCGGUUAACCACACACGCUCCACUAACCGACUUAAACAAAGUGCAAAGUGUAAUUUCAUGGAUUAGCACCUUAUUCACAUUUUCCUAAGUAACUAAGAUUGGGUAUUAAUAAGAGUUUAG